This 445-nucleotide ribosomal RNA is filed under the name uncultured bacterium. RNAcentral describes it as "partial 16S ribosomal RNA". It matches the Rfam family "Bacterial small subunit ribosomal RNA", at positions 338 to 795 of the family's 1533-position model. The record is from RNAcentral.
CCUACGGGUGGCUGCAGUCGAGAAUCAUUCACAAUGGGGGAAACCCUGAUGGUGCGACGCCGCGUGGGGGCAUGAAGGUCUUCGGAUUGGACACCCUGUCAUGUGGGAGCAAAUUAAAAAGAUAGUACCACAAGAGGAAGAGACGGCUAACUCUGUGCCAGCAGCCGCGGUAAUACAGAGGUCUCAAGCGUGGUUCGGAAUCACUGGGCGUAAGGCGUGCGUAGGCUGUUUCGUAAGUCGUGUGUGAAAGGCGCGGGCUCAACCCGCGGACGGCACAUGAUACUGGGAGACUAGAGUAAUGGAGGGGGAACCGGAAUUCUCGGUGUAGCAGUGAAAUGCGUAGAUAUCGAGAGGAACACUCGUGGCGAAGGCGGGUUCCUGGACAUUAACUGACGCUGAGGCACGAAGGCCAGGGGAGCGAAAGGGAUUAGAUACCCCGGUAGUC